GCGGGUGUAGCUCAAUGGUAGAGCCCCAGCCUUCCAAGCUGAUUGCGUGGGUUCGAUUCCCAUCACCCGCUCCA
RNAcentral lists this transfer RNA (74 nucleotides) under Rickettsiaceae bacterium. RNAcentral describes it as "tRNA-Gly". It matches the Rfam family "tRNA". Rfam says of the family: Transfer RNA (tRNA) molecules are approximately 80 nucleotides in length. Their secondary structure includes four short double-helical elements and three loops (D, anti-codon, and T loops). The record is from RNAcentral. Lineage: Bacteria; Pseudomonadati; Pseudomonadota; Alphaproteobacteria; Rickettsiales; Rickettsiaceae.